RNAcentral lists this ribosomal RNA (338 nucleotides) under Iranian cherry phytoplasma PCh7. RNAcentral's name for it is "bacterial SSU rRNA". It matches the Rfam family "Bacterial small subunit ribosomal RNA", at positions 1202 to 1533 of the family's 1533-position model. Lineage: Bacteria; Bacillati; Mycoplasmatota; Mollicutes; Acholeplasmatales; Acholeplasmataceae. The record is from RNAcentral.
UUAUGACCUGGGCUACAAACGUGAUACAAUGGCUGUUACAAGGGGUAGCUGAAACGUAAGUUCUUGGCCAAUCCCCAAAAACAGUCUCAGUCCGGAUUGAAGUCUGCAACUCGACUUCAUGAAGUUGGAAUCGCUAGUAAUCGCGAAUCAGCAUGUCGCGGUGAAUACGUUCUCGGGGUUUGUACACACCGCCCGUCAAACCACGAAAGUUGGCAAUACCCCAAAAUGGUAGCCUAACUCGUUUAUUCGAGAGGGCGCUGUCUAAGGUAGGGUCGAUGAUUGGGGUUAAGUCGUAACAAGGUAUCCCUACCGGAAGGUGGGGAUGGAUCACCUCCUUU